UACGGGGGGGGCAAGCGUUGUUCGGAAUUACUGGGCGUAAAGGGCUCGUAGGCGGCCAACUAAGUCAGGCGUGAAAUCCCCAGGCUCAACCUGGGAACUGCGUCUGAUACUGGAUGGCUUGAAUCCGGGAGAGGGAUGCAGAAUUCCAGGUGUAGCGGUGAAAUGCGUAGAUAUCUGGAGGAAUACCGGUGGCGAAGGCGGCAUCCUGGACCGGCAUUGACGCUGAGGAGCGAAAGCCAGGGGAGCAAACGGG
RNAcentral lists this ribosomal RNA (253 nucleotides) under uncultured bacterium. RNAcentral's name for it is "partial 16S ribosomal RNA". It matches the Rfam family "Bacterial small subunit ribosomal RNA", at positions 524 to 776 of the family's 1533-position model. The record is from RNAcentral.